Long non-coding RNA from Onychomys torridus (southern grasshopper mouse), 2490 nucleotides. RefSeq lists it as uncharacterized. The record is from RefSeq and is a predicted model, not a curated record. Lineage: Eukaryota; Metazoa; Chordata; Mammalia; Rodentia; Cricetidae. The transcript has 2 exons.
UUAAAGGUGUGCGCCACCCACUGGGCUCCAUCACUCAUUUUUAUAAAAAUCCAAAUAAGCAAAAGCAGGGAAGAAAGACCUGUGGUUGACUCUAGAGAGGGCUCAUCGUGGCAUGGUGACGGGGACAUCUAACCUGUCUCAGUACAGGGCUGCCAGGGGGCGGGGGCGGCUACAGCUCUACCCUCACCUGAAGCCUUGGGCUCUCUCGGGCUCUGUGUCAUUUGGAGAAGAGGGAAGAUGCAUUCCAGGAGGCUAGGGACAGACCAACCGAUGACAGGCUCUGAGAAAAAGCCUGCAGCCCAACAGAAAACCGGACAGGACAUGGCACAGGAGCCCAUGAUGUGGGCUCUGACCCAAGGUUCUGAGUUCAGGUAGCUCCUGGAGACACUACUGUGAAGUCAUCAGGAAGCAAAGGGACCUGGAAAGGCUGGCCAUAUGGGAAGCUCUGGAUCCUAGGGAAGGAUCCUCAGUGUGCAUAUGCUCCCAGUGACUUCUACUUAGAGAUCCAUCCUCUCAGCCAUAAGGUAGCUCUGUAAGGCAGUCUACAGAAAUGCUUCCUUUGUGGUUGGAGGGAGCUCCGCAGGGCUGCCAGUGGCUAAGAGGUGGUGCUGUCUAUGGUGUUGACUAAGUAAAGCAGCUGGAUGGACCAGGCACCCACAUUCAACCUGUGAGAAGAAGUCCCUCUUACGGAGAUCUGGCCAGCUAUGAUCCCUGAAUCACCCAACCAUAAGACACAAUAUCAUUCCACAAACACACAAGGCUUCUAGAUCUGGGAGGCUUCUCCAGGGCCAUAGCAAAUGGGGCCUCUCCUGUCUCCAUGGGCUGUUCCCAUGGCCCCCAGCAGUUUCUAAGCAUCGUGAAGUCUUCCAGGACCCCGUAGUAUGACUCAAAGGUUAUGGAGGAACCUCCAGGGCCCCCACACUGCUUAGCAGAAGUUAAUUCCCUGCCUGCUGCCUUGGACUGGAUCGGAAUUAGCAAGACUGUAACGUGAGAAGAGCAGGGCACCCCACCCUCACUCCACACUGUACCUUCCCUAGAAGAGCUGCAAGUCAAAAGUAGCAAGAGGCCUCAAGAGACACCAACCCACAAGGCCGACUUCAGGCAUAACACUGCCCCAGGAGCCAUGGCCCCAAAUGAGCCACAUCUGGGAGGGUCACAUCCAGGCUGAGCAUUCAUGCUUAUGAUGGCAGAUCCUUGAGCAGGGGAAGGGGAGAUGCUGGUACAACAAGCGAUAAAUGUCACUAAGACCCAAGCUGUCUGCACCAUCCGCCUCUGUCUUCCAAGGACAGCAGACGGCUCAUGUCAGCAGGAAAGUGAGCUGCUGAAGUGCCCCUGGCCCCAUGGGACUAAGAAGGACAUAAGGAGGACACUGCUGUGCAAAGCAGCUGGCACCACUGGGGGUAGGGGGAGAUGCCCCAUUCUAAGAGGCCAGGAGGGGACCCCACACCCAGAGGACAACCAGUCUCCUUCACUGACAUGGUGAGACAUGCUUCUCUCCACCCAGAGACAGUAGGAAAGACAUCCACUCAAUGCCACAUAGCCGGUCGGUCACCCUCACUGUGACAAAGACGAACAUCAGUCCAGAUGCUCCUCACUGCCACCCAGUGGUGUCACAUGCAUUGUCCCACACGGGCAGCACACCAAAAGCCACCACCAUCCUAUGGGGCCACCCCUUUCACAGCCUGAGCCAAUGCCACAUGCAUGAGUGCACUCAUGAAAAGAGGACUGUACCUAUAAUUUUGAAAAUGUUUUAGUGCAUGCAGCUUUUAAAACAUUUUGGCAGGAAAAUUACAGCUUCAACGCGCAAGAGAAAAUGGGCCCAUUAGCCUCAGAAGAUGAGAAAGGCAGGACUCAGGGCAGAGCCCUGGGGGCCUGGAACAAGGUCUCUCCUGAAUCAAAAUGGGGAUGGAGCUAAGACACCUCCCCAACCCAAACCGACAGUGUUCCCCCAGCACCCUGAGCCCCAUCUCCUAAGACAGACCACCUCCCAUUGCUGGCUGGCUCACUCCUCUGCAGCUGUACCCCCAGGCUAGAGAGAAGCCCUGGUGGGAGGCAAAGCCCACUCCCCACAGAAGUCUAGAGAAGCUAGGGUCCUGGGAGAUAGUAGCUGGGAACAUCACCCAGGGGCAGGACAUCCUGCCACCAUGGUCCUGCAUCCUAACCUUCUGGCUGAUCUUCAUGCAGCGUGCCUGGCCCCAAGCUCAGCCUACCUCAACCAUCUGCUAGACACUCUAUGAUGCCCAUGACAGUUCCUGAGAGGACAUUUCCAGAGCCACCAACAUCCCCAAGAACAGACAAGACUGUGACUUCUUGUAUGGGACAGUUCCCUACUACCCCAUCACAAAUAUAAGCUGUUACAGGAAGCAAAGAGGCCUCCUAGUCUCUGAAUGCCCUGGUUCUGCCAAGGAGUUGGACACAGAGCCCUUUGCCAUUUCCUGGUCCCCCUCAUCUACCAGACUGAAAGAGCAAGGACCACUGUCCAUCAAAUAC